UGUGUGUGUGUGUGUGUGUGUGUGUGUUGCUUCACAUCAUUCUUAUUAUGCCCUCCGUGAGACCUCAUGAUAUAAUGCCUAGCUCAAAUCUAAUAAUUUCGUUGUCUAGCUGUUGAUAGAUGUUAGAUUAGAUUUAACAGCUCCACCAGAUCCACAUCUAAGCCCUGUGCUGUCAUAUACACAUUCUAUCAUGGCAUUAGCUGUGUCUGUAAAGUGUAUUACCACUGAGCCACACAAGUUCAUGACUUUUAUGGCUCUUUAUUUCCUACUUCAUUAAGCAGAUAAACGAGUUAUAUAGCUGAGGAUAUCAUGUCAUCAUGGUUUAUCCUCGUGCUGUUGCUGCAUGUCUAUAAGCCCUGUAGCGGUCUGACUGACGAUGUUGACUGGAAGCCGUUCUUUCAUUCCUACUGCUAAUCACAAACUCAAAUAAAAGCCAAGACAAGAGAAAUGUCACAGGCUAAUGCAACAUGUCAGAGCUAAUUACUCUCUCUCUCUCUCUCUCUCUCUCUCUCUCUCUCUCUCUCUAUCUAUCUCUCUCUCCUAACCAUCCACUUUAUGCAGUUAUCCAAUCAUCCAAUCAUGUCGCAGCAGCACAAUGCAUAAAAGCAUGCAGAUACAGGUCAAGAGGUACACAUCACCCAAACUGGACAGUUGAAAGGUUCGAUGUGUUUCGGAUUCUGAGAUGCUUUUCCGCUCACCACGGUUGUAAAGCGUGAUUAAUAUCACUCAAUCCGAAACAAUCUGGCCAUUUUCCUCUGAUCUCUCAUAUCAACGAGGCGUUUCUAACCCUCAGAGCUGUCGCUCACGUCAUGUUUUUCGCUUUUCGCUGAACUCUCGAGACCGCUGUGUGUGAAAACCCCAGGAGAUCAGCGGUUUCUGAAAUACUCAAACCCAACCCGUCUGGUACCAAAAAACCAAGUCACACUUUAGAGAUCAGGCUUUGUCUUCAUUCUGAUGUUUGAUGUGAACGCUCACUCAAGCUCCUGACCUGUAUCUGCAUGACGUUUUUGCAUUAUGCCGUUGCCACAUGACUAGAUAGCGACACGAAUGUACAGGCGUUCCUAUUAAAGUGGACCCAUAUCGGAUUCUGGUUCAAUUCAAAAGACGCUGUGUGAAGAGAAGCUGAAGAGUUUUAUGUUGAGCGUGGUCUCACGUCGGAAAUGUAAACUCGAAGUAAAUAUCUUUAAUAUGAAGCGUUUACUGUUCGGGAUGAACCAAAAAUGGGAACGAGUACCGCAAUUGUGCAGGCUUCGCUUUAAAAAACCUUAUCUUGAUCCAACUUUACACAGCUAUCUUGUAUUUUAGAUGAGUUCCGGUCAGGUUUUAAAUCUCUACACAGCAUCGAAUCUGCCCGGUUAAAGGUUACUAAUGAUGUUUUAAUGUCACUUGACUCUGGAACUUGUGCUGUGUUGGUCUUAUUGGAUCUUAGCGCUACCUUUGAUACUAUCGACCACUGUAUUCUUUUAAAUCGCUUAGAGUCUGUGGUCGGUAUCAAGGGUCUGGCUUUGCAGUGGUUUGCGUCUUAUCUGAAAGAUAAGACUUUCGAAAGUAAACAUAAGGAAUUUCUCUUCUUCUUCCACCCCCUUAUCGUGUGGUGUUCCUCAGGGCUCCAUAUUGGGUCCUCUGUCGUUUUCCCUUUAUAUGCUUCCCCUGGGUCCUACUUUUCAUACAUAUGAUAUUUCCUUUCACUGCUAUGAUUAUGAGGCCUAGUUAGGUCCUCUCUCUCUCUCUGUUAACAAAUAUGCCAAAACUCUUGGAGUGAUCUGUGACUUACAAAGUGCUUUCUGGUUCUGCUCCAAAGUACAACAUUGAUGUUCUUCACCUUUACUCUUUGUGUUAUAAUGUUACUCAAUGUGAUGAAUUUGAAUGUUUUGUACAGCACUUUGGGUCACCUGCCGUUGUCUUUCAAAGUGCUUUAUAAAUAAAUUUGACUCGACUCGACACAUCCAAUGUUCACGUCUUCUGACGGCGAUGAUGUCGGUGUUGAUACACAGCCGAGGGUUUGGUCAGUACACACACACACACACACACACGGCCUGAUUGCUGAAUCGUCUCUCAGAUAGUUAGACAGGGAAUUACCAGCACUCCUGCACUACACAACAUCUCACUGAUCAAUAAAUCCAUGCCACUGCUGGUGAAAACAUUACAGACCUGCUACCUGAAGUUCACAGGCUUAACCCAAGACCACUAAUCCACAAAUCCACCACUGAUCCGUAAACAGCAGUUCAUUAUUCUGGAUUUAAGCUGCCGAGGUAUGAACUGAUGUCUCGUUUAUAUUUUGCCACAUCAGAUGUUGGAGGUGCUCCUACAGUACGUCCUCUAUCCUCUGACCUGCUUUUCCUAAAUUUAGGUAGUAAAUGUACAGUUUACGAAUCCCGAUGAUGUCACGGCCAUGCGUAAAGAGCAAAAUUGGCCGUGUGCUCUGAGUGGGAGGGGCAUACUCUCUCUGCCCUGUUAAUCAUUAGCCAAUCAUAGGCAUCUAUGAGCUGAUGUGUAUGUGGAAGGAGGCAGAUAGCACUUUUUCCUCUGAGUGUAUUAUUAGCGGUGGUCAUUUUGAUUCAUCCCAGUGACUCGACUCUUUUGAUCCCGUUCAGCAAAAAGAUUCGUUCAGUGAUCCUAUCUCUUAUACCUAUGCUAAAUUACAACAGUAGUUGGCACCAGUGAGUCUUUUUUUAGAUAUUAUGAGUAAGUCAGGGGCUGCAUCCGAAUAUCCCUAUUGCUAUACCGUAUAGUAGGCAAAAUGCAGUUCGUUAAAGGAGUCGUAUGUCAGAAUUCUCAGCAUCCAUAAAACAGUAGGCGAGAAAUCCCCGGAUGACGCACUGAGAUUCCGUUAGUGUGGAGCCAAUGGACAUUGCGCUAUCCCAUAAGGCAAUAGGACUGGUGCGGAAGAGCUGUCAGAAUCCAAAAUCACAUAAAGUCACAUGACAAUACCAACAUGGCGGAUAUAGUACAUCCGGAUUGUAUUCAUGCUACACACUUGUACUGACCGGUUCGUACUGUGACGAGCAGUAGGUCCGGUAACAGUACGCGAUUUCCAGCGCAGCCAUUGUUCCAAUCGCUCAAUACGUUCGUUUAUAAACAACAAGUUUUCAAGAGAUAAUAUAUUCAAAUCGACGUGUCCAAUCCACAAAGAAAAAGUCUGGUGAUUUUAUUUCCAAGAAAAACAUAUCAGUCAGUGCAGGCUAGUUUUCAGAGAGCAGCAACAAAUGAGGAUACGGUUGUAAUUUGAAGUAAGUAAGUAAAUAAAUAAAUAAAUAAAGUAGUUUUCAAUGCCACCAUAAUUUUAAGGCAGCCCUCAGCCAGUUUGACACAUCUGUGUAUAGCGGAUUAUGCUACGGAUACAACACAACAACAACAACAACACAUAAGGCUUGUCUUAGUGCUACACACGCUUCAAAUGCACUGCCCCGCCCUCUUUCUCUUUCUCUUCUUGUUGAAAGGGUGAUGAACUGAACGAACGACAGGCAUGUAUCAGAGACCCGGCACGUCCUCGUUCCUUCACCUAGUCUGUUCGUUUCCUUCACGACCGACAAGUCCACUAUUCACAAACUAGCUCCUUCAGUUUGUACUGAACCGCACGUCCCAGUACGUAUAGAAUCGGUACCGCACGAUUUAGCAUAGCCUUGGGCCAAGUGCAAUAGCUGGACUGUUAAUCAUCUCUCGCUGAGCCCAGAUUCUUCUCCAUCAAAUGUGAAAUUUGGACAAAAAUUUGGAUUUAUCAUCAAUCUUGCCUCAGGUGUUAUCACUGUUGGAUAUCUAACACGAGAAUAGGCUAGUUUGGCGUUGCUAGCCAAGUGGAGGAACAGCUAAGCUAUCAGUGUAUGGGUUUAGCUACUACAGUGCCAUGCAGAGUACAUUAUCUGUCCUUCUGCUCUGCUCAUGUCACGUUCACGUAAACUGGGACUCGUAUAGACCUUGUUUUCCUGCUCAGCAUCAGAGGAACUUCCUGUUUCAGUUUCAACCCUUUUACUGGUAAUAAUAAUAAUAAUAAUAACAAUAAUAAUUGGCAUAUAUCCAUUUUCCCCCUCACACAAACUGACUGUGUUAGCUAGCGUUUGGCAGAAUUGAGAACUCUCAGCCAAUAAGAGACGAGUAUUUCCACGUAUGGUCCAGUAAACCCCGUCUGAUUGGUCUCGCCUCCGAGUGGAGAUUUACCCAGAGCUGAAGAAAACAUCUUCAGGGCUACAGCCCCCAACGCCCAUGCCAGGUUACGCCCAGGUUACGCCCCCGACUCGGGCAAUCGGAGGACACCGCGGACCCCUGAGGAAACCCACGCAGACACGGAGAGAGCAAACUCCAGACAGACAGGAGCUCAGGAUCGCAGCACGAAGACUAUUAUUAUCAUUUUACGCACUGCAAUAUCUGCAAAGCGGUUUCGAAACCAUUGUCUGCAAGCGAUGAAUGAUUACAGACACGUCGUAGUAUCGGAUCGGCUGCGUGCCACACGGUCGAAGAUCUCGUGAUACCUUCGACACUCUCCGAGAAGGGCAUCAUGAACGAGUCCAUCGCUUUAUCGUGACAUCGGUAUCGUUAUGAUCAUAUCGCCCUGCUCUACUCUAACAUCCAUACUGCUAUAAUCAUACACUGGUGAUGUAUUGCGCAACCUGCAACACACACACACACACACACACACACACUUCACAAUAGGAAAACAAGCAGAGCAGCUGCUCUUAAAGGCAAAUCUGCGUAACUGGCCUGUAAGGCAGAGAUGACAGUUUACGCACACACACACACACACACACACACACACACACACACUCAACAUUUCAGUAUUAAAUGCAUAUUAAUGAAAAGAUCCAGCCCUGUAACACUCACCGGUGCUCAUGGUGGUGCGCGGCUCCGUCUCCACUCCGGUUACACUGCUGCAGCCGAGCUGAUCAGCUCAGAGAGCGCAUCACACACACACACACACACACACACACACACACACACACACACGCAAGGUCAAUCCAAAAAUGCACACGGAUCAGAGCAAUCCCAGUCGCGCUGGUGCGCUCCGGAGCAGUACAGGUCCUGCGGAACAGAUGAGCGCAGUGAAUGUCUGAUGGGAGUGUGUGUGUGUGUGUGUGUGUGUGUUGUUGCGCUCUGCAUGGGCGUGUGACAGCGCCGCUCUGAGCCUCUGCAUCAGCAGCAAUCACAGCUCAUGAGCGCGCAAAGCCUCGUG
Ictalurus punctatus (channel catfish) is the source of this 5164-nucleotide long non-coding RNA. Lineage: Eukaryota; Metazoa; Chordata; Actinopteri; Siluriformes; Ictaluridae. The record is from Ensembl.